Pelodiscus sinensis (Chinese soft-shelled turtle) is the source of this 2021-nucleotide non-coding RNA. NCBI's taxonomy places the organism in Eukaryota, Metazoa, Chordata, Testudines, Trionychidae. The record is from RefSeq and is a predicted model, not a curated record.
GUGAUGUAUACUGUUUCCAAAUCUGCAUAUAUAUGUUGAUUGACAGUUUCUGUGUAUUUCUUUAGUGCCUUUUUUUGGAAUUCUCCCUCUUUAGUUUUAAAACAUAUUUACAUGUUAUGAAUCAAACUAAAAUUUCAUGCAAUAGUUUGAAACAUAAAGAUGUUGUAAAAAUACAUGAAAGAUGCUGCCAAUUUGUUUAGACUCAGCAAUUAUAUGUUUUUAAAAAUGUUUUUAUAAAACAUAAAGUGACUAGAAAUAAUAAUUGCCCUGUUCUGUUCAUUGCCUUUGAAGCAUUUCAUAUUGUCUGGAAGACAGACUGAGCUACAUUGACCAUUGGUCUGACCUAGUAUGGUUGUUCUAAUGGAAAUGUGUAUGUAAAAUUAAAAGCUUUUUUUUUUAAUUAAAAAACCCCUUUAAAAGUAGAUUUAAAAACCAUGUUGUAGGAUUAGGAAGCCAAAUAAUGUGAUUAUUGUGCUAACACAUGAAAAGCAGAAUAUGAAACUCGAUAGUUUCUCUGUUCCAGUUGAGUAAAAUGCAAAUAGCAAAUAAACAAGAUAUAUGAUGGAAAUAAAUUAGCUUACAUUUUCCAUUUCCUGUCACCGAAAUAUUACUAGUAACAGACUUUAAAAAAUAAUAAAACCAAACACACACAAUUUUUAUUCUGAUAGUCUCCUCUUAAAAGUAAGAAUUCAAAACUCUCAUUGUAAUGUACUGCCUGCCCUCUGUAGGAUGAAUAUGUGACUGCUACAAAAUUUAUCAGUUCUAGAUUAAUUGUUUUUUCUCAUAGCCAGUCUGAAAAGUGUACCCUUUAAAAUUACAUUAUUUUUGUAUAGCUAGUGGAAAGUAUCUCUUGUAUGUGGCAUCUGAUCAUUAUAGCGCCAAUUUUACAUUUAUAAAAGUAUUCUUAUUUGAGAGAACCCUCUACCCUGAAGCUAUUUUAUUGCUUGAGCUAAAUCAUUUUGCAAAAGCACUUCAACUUGCAUAUUCUGUUCUCAAAUUAAUUAUAUAAAAAUGUGUAUAGUUAGCUAUAAAAAUGUCAGGACAUUACAGAUAAAAUGUGAGAUUGUGCAGAGAUGUUCAUAAACCUUCUGACAUGGACAUAGUUAUUAAAUACAAGAAACAUGUUGAGGCCAAUUUUCAAAUUGGAAUUCAUUUUUUGGUCUUCGCCGUCCAUCUCUGUUUGUCAGGGCUGGAAAUGGGUGACAGGGGAGGAAUCACUUGAUGAUUACCUGUUCUGUUUAUUCCCUUUCGGGCACCUGGUAUUGGCCGCAGUUGGAAGACCAGAUGUUGGGCUAGAGUGACCUUUUUUCUGACUGAGUAUGGCUUCUCUUAUGUUCUAUCGAAAACAGCUUAACGAGCUAAAACCAAAAUUAUAUUGUUUUGUUGUUCUUACUUUUGAUUGUCCACUGAAUAAUACUUCUGAGCUUUGUAGGUACAGACACUGUUUGAGCCUGGGUAUUUUGGUUAUAUAUUUGUGAGGAUUUGGUAAUAUUUAUCCUUUCCAUGGAUCUAGUUUGUACAAAUUGAUAUGGCCUUGUCAGAAUUUUAAGUUUGCACAGUGACCCAAUGAAUUUUCUUGAAGAAGUUUGAGCUAUGUUGGGCAUUUUUAUGUACCAUAAGAUCUUCAGGCAGUCAACAGAAUUCUUUUUGAAAGGUUUUCCUGUCUUGUGGAUUGCUGAAUUAGAGUGCAGGGCAUGCAGACACCUAAAGUGGAGCACCCACUGGGACAACCGUCUCGAAGAACAUCUGUUACUGCACAGCUUUGAACAUACCGGAGGAAGGUGGAAGAGAGAUUUUUCACAUUAAUGUCAACUUAAUGUAUUGGACAGUUACUGGAACAAAUACAAAUAAAUGUUGAGUAGUUAAUUUACUAAUCAAUAUUGAAAUUGGCAUUUUAAAGUAUAAUGAGGCUGCUGUAGAUGCCAUCAGCCAAAGAGUUUGAAAAUGAAUCACUUACAAGCAUCAUGAUUCAAAAAUGUGUUACUAAGGGUGCAUUGGCCAAUUAAAGGACACUGAAAUAA